AGCGCAUCAUGCUGGACAUCCGAGUGCUGCGCAUAGGCUCUGGGGAUGUACUGACCUUCUACGAUGGGGAUGACCUGACAGCCCGGGUCCUGGGCCAAUACUCAGGGCCCCGUGGCCACUUCAAGCUCUUUACCUCCAUGGCUGAUGUCACCAUUCAGUUCCAGUCAGACCCUGGGACGUCGGCGCUGGGUUACCAGCAAGGAUUUGUCAUCCACUUCUUUGGUGAGCUUGUGCUUUCUGACUUGGAUUGUAGACCCUAAAUCAUGACAAGACAAACGGUGCAGGACAAUGAGGAGGAGUCUGGAUGCCGUCAGGCACGGGGAAUCUGAGAAGGCGCCAUGUAUCACCAGGAGUAUUUGGUUAGAGCAAGAAAGCUCUAGGGAGGAAGUGUAGAGGGACUUCCUAAAACAAAACAAAACAAAACAAAAAACAAAAAUAAAAACAAAAAACAAAAAUAAAAACA
This 463-nucleotide long non-coding RNA is filed under the name Rattus norvegicus (Norway rat). RNAcentral's name for it is "long non-coding RNA NONRATT004631". Lineage: Eukaryota; Metazoa; Chordata; Mammalia; Rodentia; Muridae. The record is from RNAcentral.